RNAcentral lists this ribosomal RNA (476 nucleotides) under uncultured bacterium. RNAcentral's name for it is "bacterial SSU rRNA". It matches the Rfam family "Bacterial small subunit ribosomal RNA", at positions 27 to 518 of the family's 1533-position model. The record is from RNAcentral.
GGACGAACGCUGGCGGCACGCUAACACAUGCAAGUCGAACGGAGUUAUCGAGAGCUUGCUUUGAUAACUUAGUGGCGGACGGGUGAGUAACACGUGAGCAAUCUGCCCUUAAGAGGGGGAUAGCAGUUGGAAACGACUGAUAAUACCGCAUAAGAUAGUAGUACCGCAUGGUACAGCUAUAAAAGAUUUAUCGCUUAAGGAUGAGCUCGCGUCUGAUUAGCUAGUUGGUGAGGUAACGGCUCACCAAGGCAACGAUCAGUAGCCGGACUGAGAGGUUGGACGGCCACAUUGGGACUGAGACACGGCCCAGACUCCCACGGGAGGCAGCAGUGGGGAAUAUUGCACAAUGGAGGAAACUCUGAUGCAGCGAUGCCGCGUGAGGGAAGAAGGUUUUAGGAUUGUAAACCUCUGUUGACAGGGACGAUAAUGACGGUACCUGUUGAGGAAGCUCCGGCUAACUACGUGCCAGCCGCUGC